This 1292-nucleotide long non-coding RNA is filed under the name Gadus morhua (Atlantic cod). RNAcentral describes it as "lncRNA (ENSGMOG00000032052.1)". Lineage: Eukaryota; Metazoa; Chordata; Actinopteri; Gadiformes; Gadidae. The record is from RNAcentral.
AUGCCACAAAAUAUUCUUCACACGUAUUUGAAAACAAGAGGAAACGGGCUUGCUACAUCGUUUUGUUUGUCUAUAAAAGCUGUACAAGGAUUCAUGGGGGGGGGGGGGUCACAGAGAGGGAGAAAGCUACCUCCAGUGGUGCAUAGUUUUAGCUUUGACGUCUGUAGAUCUGUUGAGCAUUUGUUUGUCCGUUUGUGUGUGUGUGUGUGUGUGUCCAAUUCAGGACACAACGUUGAGUUCAAAGUUCUUCAGUGACACAUUGUUGACGACAAUGAUUUGUCCCCGGGAAGGCACGUGAUCCGUGACGGCAGAAUUUCAAAGGCAUUGAACAAAAACAAUACAAAUCCCUGUUGGUUUCAUGAUCCACAUAUGACCAUUGAGCGGUGGACAGAAGAGUUCAAAAUAGGCCUCCUCCUCCUCCCAGAAUUCCCUUGGAGAAAAACAAAAAAGUAGGAGACAAUCGCCAAGCAACGCUUCUUUUUCUCCUGUCCCUCACAACUUGUAAUUAUUAUUUUUUAAAACAUUCCAACGCAAUGUGAAAAGAUCAAGACGGCUCUAUGACGACCACAAAAGGUUGAUCACAUGUACGCUUCAAAACGAAAAGAUUCAAUACAACAGUGAGAGUCACUCCAGGAGCAAUACAUGUAUGUACACUCAACCAUACUAACACAUAACACAAUUUGUUUUUGCCUAUGUGCCAUGCUCUAAUACACAUGGGCUAGGCUUUCUUUUUUUAGUUUUUUAAAAGGUAUGUGCUAUGAUCACAGAGGUGGACAAUGUAAGAAAAACAAGCAAACAGAUUUGAAUAGAAAACAUGAAUAUGGAUAAUAACUGACUGGACUUGGACUGACUUGGAGUUUUAGAACUUCCACUUCAAAUGGUGUCCGUACUAAAUUAUUAAAUCUUGUAAUGAGCCCAGUAAUCUAAAGAAAUAAAAAAGUGUAACAAAAUAUUUUUUUUAGAUUCUGUUCAUUCACUUGUCAUGGUCACAUAGCUGAGAAAUUGCUUUAAAAAAGAAGGGAAUUUGCUAUUUCAAUGUAAUGUAGUGCUACUUGUAAGAAAAGGUACAUUUAAGACUGAAUACCUGAUUCAGUGGUCGGUUAAGAUGAUUAUAGACAUAUUUUUUUGCAGUGUUGCUGGGAUCCUGAAAGACUAUUGUUUGUUUUCACACAGCAACCACCCUUUAGCCCAGACAUAGUAAGCAAAAAAUAACAAAGUAACUACAGUACAAACGAGUACUUUAAAGUUAAAGAUAGUUGCAACUUUUUUGGUUUUCAAAUAUUUUACCGGUC